RNAcentral lists this ribosomal RNA (493 nucleotides) under Massilia timonae. RNAcentral describes it as "bacterial SSU rRNA". It matches the Rfam family "Bacterial small subunit ribosomal RNA", at positions 387 to 873 of the family's 1533-position model. The record is from RNAcentral. Lineage: Bacteria; Pseudomonadati; Pseudomonadota; Betaproteobacteria; Burkholderiales; Oxalobacteraceae.
UCCAGCAAUGCCGCGUGAGUGAAGAAGGCCUUCGGGUUGUAAAGCUCUUUUGUCAGGGAAGAAACGGCUGAGGUUAAUACCUGNGGCUAAUGACGGUACCUGAAGAAUAAGCACCGGCUAACUACGUGCCAGCAGCCGCGGUAAUACGUAGGGUGCAAGCGUUAAUCGGAAUUACUGGGCGUAAAGCGUGCGCAGGCGGUUUUGUAAGUCUGACGUGAAAGCCCCGGGCUCAACCUGGGAAUUGCGUUGGAGACUGCAAGGCUUGAAUCUGGCAGAGGGGGGUAGAAUUCCACGUGUAGCAGUGAAAUGCGUAGAGAUGUGGAGGAACACCGAUGGCGAAGGCAGCCCCCUGGGUCAAGAUUGACGCUCAUGCACGAAAGCGUGGGGAGCAAACAGGAUUAGAUACCCUGGUAGUCCACGCCCUAAACGAUGUCUACUAGUUGUCGGGUUUUAAUUAACUUGGUAACGCAGCUAACGCGUGAAGUAGACCGCC